This 638-nucleotide transfer RNA is filed under the name Flavobacterium columnare. Its description in RNAcentral is "16S-23S intergenic spacer region". The stretch from base 311 to 384 matches the Rfam family "tRNA". Lineage: Bacteria; Pseudomonadati; Bacteroidota; Flavobacteriia; Flavobacteriales; Flavobacteriaceae. The record is from RNAcentral.
UGCGGCUGGAUCACCUCCUUUCUAGAGACAAAAAAAAGAAGCUAUUUUUUAAUUUAGAUACUAAAUUAAAAAAACUUACUCUCGCUGUUAAUUCAAAAAAAAAGAAAAGGCUUAAAAUACAGAGUCUCGUAGCUCAGCUGGUUAGAGUACUACACUGAUAAUGUAGGGGUCGGCAGUUCGAGUCUGCCCGGGACUACUUUUUAAAGCACAAGGAAAUUCUAGAAGCGAAUUUUGAAUUAUAAAUUUUAAAUGAUGAAUUUGAAAAAUAAUUCAAAAAAAUAAUUCAACAUCCAAAAUAGAAAAAAGAUUGGGGGGAUUAGCUCAGCUGGCUAGAGCGCCUGCCUUGCACGCAGGAGGUCAUCGGUUCGACUCCGAUAUUCUCCACGAUUUUAGUCUGUAAAGUCUAAAGGCCUAAAGUCAAAAGUAUUUUACUUUAAGACUUUCGACUUUUGACCUUCGACUAAAUAAAAGUUCAUUGACAUAUUGAGAUAAACAUACAAACAAGUAGAAAGAACACUUUAGUAAUUAGUAAAGAGUGAAUAGUAAUUAGUCUUAGGACUAGUCACUAAUUACUUAGAGCUAAUCACUAAAAAAAAAGAAAACAAUAAGCAAAAUAAGGGCGUAUGGGGGAUGCCUAG